ACGAACGCUGGCGGCGUGCUUAACACAUGCAAGUCGAACGGAAAGGCCAGUGCUUGCACUGGUGCUCGAGUGGCGAACGGGUGAGUAACACGUGGGUGAUCUGCCUUGCACUCUGGGAUAAGCUUGGGAAACUGGGUCUAAUACCGGAUAUGAACUGCCUUUAUGUGGUGGUUGGAAAGUUUUUUCGGUGCAAGAUGAGCUCGCGGCCUAUCAGCUUGUUGGUGGGGUAAUGGCCUACCAAGACGUCGACGGGUAGCCGGCCUGAGAGGGUGUACGGCCACAUUGGGACUGAGAUACGGCCCAGACUCCUACGGGAGGCAGCAGUGGGGAAUAUUGCACAAUGGGCGGAAGCCUGAUGCAGCGACGCCGCGUGGGGGAUGACGGCCUUCGGGUUGUAAACUCCUUUCGACAGGGACGAAGCGCAAGUGACGGUACCUGUAUAAGAAGCACCGGCUAACUACGUGCCAGCAGCCGCGGUAAUACGUAGGGUGCGAGCGUUGUCCGGAAUUACUGGGCGUAAAGAGCUCGUAGGUGGUUUGUCGCGUCGUCUGUGAAAUUCCGGGGCUUAACUUCGGGCGUGCAGGCGAUACGGGCAUAACUUGAGUGCUGUAGGGGAGACUGGAAUUCCUGGUGUACGGUGAAAUGCGCAGAUAUCGGGAGGAACACCGAUGGCGAAGGCAGGUCUCUGGGCAGUUUACUGACCGCUGGAGGAGCGAAAGGCAUGGGUAGCAAACAGG
RNAcentral lists this ribosomal RNA (737 nucleotides) under uncultured Actinomycetes bacterium. Its description in RNAcentral is "bacterial SSU rRNA". It matches the Rfam family "Bacterial small subunit ribosomal RNA", at positions 29 to 776 of the family's 1533-position model. The record is from RNAcentral. Lineage: Bacteria; Bacillati; Actinomycetota; Actinomycetes.